This 602-nucleotide long non-coding RNA is filed under the name Olea europaea subsp. europaea. Lineage: Eukaryota; Viridiplantae; Streptophyta; Magnoliopsida; Lamiales; Oleaceae. The record is from RNAcentral.
CCGUUUUGAAAUUAUUAAUAGAGCCCUCAUAACUUCUAACAUCUCAUAAAAGUCCCUUGUUUAAUAAUUAUAGUUUGACCCCAAUUUCUAAUUGCAGAUAGGAGCCUCUAAUCCCAUAAAUUGCAAGAGAGGCCCCAUCCCCAAAUCUACCAUAGCCGACCGAAACAUGCUCCAAAUUCACCAACCCGAUCGAUUUCUUUCUCAAACCCUAACAAAGACCACUACCCGGUUUGAACAUAAUACAGAUUCAACAUUAAUUCUCAAUUUUUACAGCAAUAAGAAAAAUUACAGAACUGAGGUUUUGUUGCAACAUCUCAUAAUCAUCUAAAACCCAAAUCAAAAACCAAAAAUCACUCUAAAAAAGAAAAAAAAAUGCAAAACGUGUGGAUCGAAAAUAUUAAAACAAUCGAGCAGCCAAAAAAAGAAAAGGAAGCUGCCAACGCCAAAACCAAAUUUGAGAGGAGAGAGAGGAAGUUCAAAUAAAAUCCCUGCAGCAGCCAAAAGAUGUCUUUUUCGCCAAACCCAAACUUGAGAGGAGAGAGUUCAAAUAAAACCCCCCCUCUCCUUUUUUUUUUGUUCCCUGUGAUGUUAAUUUGGUUAAG